RNAcentral lists this ribosomal RNA (468 nucleotides) under uncultured bacterium. RNAcentral's name for it is "partial 16S ribosomal RNA". It matches the Rfam family "Bacterial small subunit ribosomal RNA", at positions 28 to 507 of the family's 1533-position model. The record is from RNAcentral.
GACGAACGCUGGCGGCGUGCUUAACACAUGCAAGUCGAACGGCAAGGCCCUGCUUUUGUGGGGUGCUCGAGUGGCGAACGGGUGAGUAACACGUGAGUAACCUGCCCUUGACUUUGGGAUAACUUCAGGAAACUGGGGCUAAUACCGGAUAGGAGCUCCUGCUGCAUGGUGGGGGUUGGAAAGUUUCGGCGGUUGGGGAUGGACUCGCGGCUUAUCAGCUUGUUGGUGGGGUAGUGGCUGACCAAGGAUUUGAAGGGUAGCCGGCCUGAGAGGGUGACCGGCGACAUUGGGACUGAGAGACGGCCCAGACUCGUACGGGAGGCAGCAGUGGGGAAUAUUGCACAAUGGGCGGAAGCCUGAUGCAGCAACGCCGCGUGCGGGAUGACGGCCUUCGGGUUGUAAACCGCUUUCGCCUGUGACGAAGCGUGAGUGACGGUAAUGGGUAAAGAAGCACCGGCUAACUACGUG